RNAcentral lists this long non-coding RNA (307 nucleotides) under Coturnix japonica (Japanese quail). RNAcentral describes it as "lncRNA (ENSCJPG00005000664.1)". The record is from RNAcentral. Lineage: Eukaryota; Metazoa; Chordata; Aves; Galliformes; Phasianidae.
UAUAAAUCUCAAUUUAGAACACCUCAACCAAUUUAACUGUUUUAAUUUCAGGUUCACGUUUUCCAAAAUGCCUAAACUUCCACAGUUUGAGUUUGACUUCAUAAAUGCAAAUGACCCUGUUAGAAAGUGUUAGGCUGAAUGCAAGUAAAAAUUUGAUGGAAUCAUUAAGUCUCCUUCCAUCUCAUGCCUAAAUACAGCCUAGAAUAAGCAUUACUGCCAAGGGAACUUCUGGAUGGGCAAUAAAGUUCAUCAUUGGGAUUGCUUGAUAAUUAAUCAAUAAAAAUAAGAGACUCGUGACUUGAGAGCA